GCGGCUGAGGGGAUGGGGGGGCGGCGGCCCCUGAGGGACCCCGGCGGCUCCUGAGUCCCCAGGUGUGAGCCCGCAGAGCUGCUGUGUCACUGAGGCACAGGGUGUGGACAAGCGUGGAUGAAAUUCUGCAAGACAAGCUGAGCCUGAGGAACAGCAGCUCACGUACGAGACUUUUCCUGCCAAGUCGUUUUCCAAGAGUUUGGAUCAGGCCAACAUCAAACCUACUGCUUCCCAUGCCACAAACUGCGCUGGUUUUUCACCUUUCUCAGCUGUAGUUUUAGUCUUUACCCACGUGUUCCCUACGCUGUUAUAUUUUUCCUCUACCCACACUUGAACACAACAAUGGGAACUCGUGUAGUACCAAAUUAUUAUGGCAAAAAUUCUUUUUCUCAUCUCCGAUUUGGGCAAAACGAUGAUUUCACAGCAUAGCUGCUCCCCUGAGGUACUGCA
Non-coding RNA from Taeniopygia guttata (zebra finch), 450 nucleotides. The record is from RefSeq and is a predicted model, not a curated record. Lineage: Eukaryota; Metazoa; Chordata; Aves; Passeriformes; Estrildidae.